Molecule: ribosomal RNA, 253 nt
Filed under: uncultured bacterium
Lineage: Bacteria
Description: partial 16S ribosomal RNA
Rfam family: Bacterial small subunit ribosomal RNA
Source: RNAcentral
UACGUAGGGGGCAAGCGUUGUCCGGAAUCAUUGGGCGUAAAGAGCGUGUAGGCGGCCCGGUAAGUCCGCUGUGAAAGUCCAGGGCUCAACCCUGGGAUGCCGGUGGAUACUGUCGGGCUCGAGUCCGGAAGAGGAGUGUGGAAUUCCUGGUGUAGCGGUGAAAUGCGCAGAUAUCAGGAAGAACACCCGUGGCGAAAGCGGCUCUCUGGAACGGUACUGACGCUGAGAUGCGAAAGCGUGGGGAGCGAACAGG